Molecule: ribosomal RNA, 459 nt
Filed under: uncultured bacterium
Lineage: Bacteria
Description: partial 16S ribosomal RNA
Rfam family: Bacterial small subunit ribosomal RNA
Source: RNAcentral
CCUACGGGGGGCAGCAGUGAGGAAUAUUGGUCAAUGGGCGCGAGCCUGAACCAGCCAAGUCGCGUGAGGGAAGACGGUCCUAUGGAUUGUAAACCUCUUUUGUCGGGGAGCAAAAGACGCCACGCGUGGCGUUCCGAGAGUACCCGAAGAAAAAACAUCGGCUAACUCCGUGCCAGCAGCCGCGGUAAUAGGGAGGAUGCGAGCGUUAUCCGGAUUUAUUGGGUUUAAAGGGUGCGCAGGCGGAAGAUCAAGUCAGCGGGAAAAUUGAGAGGCUCAACCUCUUCGAGCAGUUGAAACUGGUUUUAUUGAGUGGGCGAGAAGUAUGCGGAAUGCGUGGUGUAGCGGUGAAAUGCAUAGAUAUCACGCAGAACUCCGAUUGCGAAGGCAGCAUACCGGCGCUCAACUGACGCUCAUGCACGAAAGUGUGGGUAUCGAACAGGAUUAGAUACCCUUGUAGUC